GGCACCGGCGGUGGAAGCUCCACCUUCGGCGGCUUAGGCGGACAUGGCUUCUUCGGUGGCUUGUGUACCGGAACUGGAGGUGGGUGCUCUAUCUUUGGCGGUGGCUUGUAAACCGGAACCGAAGGUGGGUGCUCUAUCUUUGGCGGUGGCUUGUAAACCGGAACCGAAGGUGGGUGCUCUAUCUUUGGCGGUGGCUUGUAAACCGGAACUGGAGGUGGGUGCUCUAUCUUUGGCGGUGGCUUGUAAACCGGAACCGGAGGUGGGUGCUCUAUCUUCGGCGGUUUAGGUGGACAAGGCUUCUUAGGAAUAGGCGGUGGAAGCUCCACCUUUGGUGAUGGCUCGUAAAUCGGGACAGGUGGGGGAACCUCUUUCUUUGGCGGUGGAUCGUAAACCGGAACCGGAG
This 403-nucleotide long non-coding RNA is filed under the name Arabidopsis lyrata. RNAcentral's name for it is "long non-coding RNA (ALYR_LNC000727)". The record is from RNAcentral. Lineage: Eukaryota; Viridiplantae; Streptophyta; Magnoliopsida; Brassicales; Brassicaceae.